RNAcentral lists this ribosomal RNA (430 nucleotides) under Moraxella sp. RNAcentral's name for it is "bacterial SSU rRNA". It matches the Rfam family "Bacterial small subunit ribosomal RNA", at positions 355 to 776 of the family's 1533-position model. The record is from RNAcentral. Lineage: Bacteria; Pseudomonadati; Pseudomonadota; Gammaproteobacteria; Moraxellales; Moraxellaceae.
UGGGGAAUAUUGCACAAUGGGCGCAACCCUGAUCCAGCCAUGCCGCGUGUGUGAAGAAGGCCUUUUGGUUGUAAAGCACUUUAAGCAGGGAGGAGAGGCUAAUGGUUAAUACCCAUUAGAUUAGACGUUACCCGCAGAAGAAGCACCGGCUAACUCCGUGCCAGCAGCCGCGGUAAUACGGAGGGUGCGAGCGUUAAUCGGAAUUACUGGGCGUAAAGCGAGUGUAGGUGGCUCAUUAAGUCACAUGUGAAAUCCCCGGGCUUAACCUGGGAACUGCAUGUGAUACUGGUGGUGCUAGAAUAUGUGAGAGGGAAGUAGAAUUCCAGGUGUAGCGGUGAAAUGCGUAGAGAUCUGGAGGAAUACCGAUGGCGAAGGCAGCUUCCUGGCAUAAUAUUGACACUGAGAUUCGAAAGCGUGGGUAGCAAACAGG